Molecule: ribosomal RNA, 500 nt
Filed under: uncultured Glomeromycotina
Lineage: Eukaryota; Fungi; Glomeromycota
Description: partial small subunit ribosomal RNA
Rfam family: Eukaryotic small subunit ribosomal RNA
Source: RNAcentral
CCAAUAGCGUAUAUUAAAGUUGUUGCAGUUAAAAAGCUCGUAGUUGAAUUUCGGGAUCAAUAUGCUGGUCGUGCCAUUGGUACGUACUAGUAUUAUUGGUUUCUUCCUUCUGAUGAAUCAUGAUGUCAUUAAGUUGAUGUCAUGGGGAAUCAGGACUGUUACUUUGAAAAAAUUAGAGUGUUUAAAGCAGGCUCGCGCUUGAAUACAUUAGCAUGGAAUAAUGAAAUAGGACGUUUGAUUCUAUUUUGUUGGUUUCUAGGAUUGACGUAAUGAUUAAUAGGGAUAGUUGGGGGCAUUAGUAUUCAAUUGUCAGAGGUGAAAUUCUUGGAUUUAUUGAAGACUAACUACUGCGAAAGCAUUUGCCAAGGAUGUUUUCAUUAAUCAAGAACGAAAGUUAGGGGAUCGAAGACGAUCAGAUACCGUCGUAGUCUUAACCAUAAACUAUGCCGACUAGGGAUCGGAUGAUGUUAAUUUUUUAAUGACUCAUUCGGCGCCUUACG